AUGGCCAAGACCUGCCUGCCAAUGGCCGCGGCUGCCAUGGUUCUGCUCCUGAUGGUGGCGACGGCGCAGGGCAUCAGGCUGGACGCAGGGAGCAAGGCGGCGUUCGGCAACCCUGUGCUCAAUAAAUCCGCAGAGAAAGGGAUGUUGAACAAGGCUGAUGGUGAUGAGCCAUCUUCAGGCGAUGAAGUGGAGGAGGCCAUCUCUGAAGAGAAAGAGAGGGCAGGGGCGCACAGGAUGCCUGAGAUCCAUGUGGACUACUAUGGCCCCAAGGGCCAUAACGCCAGGCACCACUGA
RNAcentral lists this ribosomal RNA (294 nucleotides) under Triticum aestivum (bread wheat). Its description in RNAcentral is "partial small subunit ribosomal RNA". The record is from RNAcentral. Lineage: Eukaryota; Viridiplantae; Streptophyta; Magnoliopsida; Poales; Poaceae.